GAUCUUCAAAGACCUCGACGAUGGCGAGAUCGAAGAGGUGGCCGAGAAGUGCAAGGAAGAAAAGUUCGAGUCUGGCGCCUACAUCUUCCGUGAGGGUGAG
This 100-nucleotide unclassified non-coding RNA is filed under the name uncultured fungus. RNAcentral describes it as "sequence contains ITS1". The record is from RNAcentral. Lineage: Eukaryota; Fungi.